UUUAUGGAGAGUUUGAUCCUGGCUCAGAGUGAACGCUGGCGGCGUGCCUAAUACAUGCAAGUCGAACGAUGAAGCUUCUAGCUUGCUAGAGUGCUGAUUAGUGGCGCACGGGUGAGUAACGCAUAGGUCAUGUGCCUCUUAGUUUGGGAUAGCCAUUGGAAACGAUGAUUAAUACCAGAUACUCCCUACGGGGGAAAGAUUUAUCGCUAAGAGAUCAGCCUAUGUCCUAUCAGCUUGUUGGUAAGGUAAUGGCUUACCAAGGCUAUGACGGGUAUCCGGCCUGAGAGGGUGAACGGACACACUGGAACUGAGACACGGUCCAGACUCCUACGGGAGGCAGCAGUAGGGAAUAUUGCUCAAUGGGGGAAACCCUGAAGCAGCAACGCCGCGUGGAGGAUGAAGGUUUUAGGAUUGUAAACUCCUUUUGUUAGAGAAGAUAAUGACGGUAUCUAACGAAUAAGCACCGGCUAACUCCGUGCCAGCAGCCGCGGUAAUACGGAGGGUGCAAGCGUUACUCGGAAUCACUGGGCGUAAAGAGCGCGUAGGCGGGAUAGUCAGUCAGGUGUGAAAUCCUAUGGCUUAACCAUAGAACUGCAUUUGAAACUACUAUUCUAGAGUGUGGGAGAGGUAGGUGGAAUUCUUGGUGUAGGGGUAAAAUCCGUAGAGAUCAAGAGGAAUACUCAUUGCGAAGGCGACCUGCUGGAACAUUACUGACGCUGAUUGUGCGAAAGCGUGGGGAGCAAACAGGAUUAGAUACCCUGGUAGUCCACGCCCUAAACGAUGGAUGCUAGUUGUUGGAGGGCCUAGUCUCUCCAGUAAUGCAGCUAACGCAUUAAGCAUCCCGCCUGGGGAGUACGGUCGCAAGAUUAAAACUCAAAGGAAUAGACGGGGACCCGCACAAGCGGUGGAGCAUGUGGUUUAAUUCGAAGAUACACGAAGAACCUUACCUAGGCUUGACAUUGAGAGAAUCCGCUAGAAAUAGUGGAGUGUCUAGCUUGCUAGACCUUGAAAACAGGUGCUGCACGGCUGUCGUCAGCUCGUGUCGUGAGAUGUUGGGUUAAGUCCCGCAACGAGCGCAACCCCCUUUCUUAGUUGCUAACAGGUUAUGCUGAGAACUCUAAGGAUACUGCCUCCGUAAGGAGGAGGAAGGUGGGGACGACGUCAAGUCAUCAUGGCCCUUACGCCUAGGGCUACACACGUGCUACAAUGGGGUGCACAAAGAGAAGCAAUACUGCGAAGUGGAGCCAAUCUUCAAAACACCUCUCAGUUCGGAUUGUAGGCUGCAACUCGCCUGCAUGAAGCUGGAAUCGCUAGUAAUCGCAAAUCAGCCAUGUUGCGGUGAAUACGUUCCCGGGUCUUGUACUCACCGCCCGUCACACCAUGGGAGUUGUGUUUGCCUUAAGUCAGGAUGCUAAAUUAGCUACUGCCCACGGCACACACAGCGACUGGGGUGAAGUCGUAACAAGGUAACCGUAGGUGAACCUGCGGUUGGAUCACCUCCUUUCUAGA
Molecule: ribosomal RNA, 1509 nt
Filed under: Helicobacter pylori
Lineage: Bacteria; Pseudomonadati; Campylobacterota; Epsilonproteobacteria; Campylobacterales; Helicobacteraceae
Description: bacterial SSU rRNA
Rfam family: Bacterial small subunit ribosomal RNA
Source: RNAcentral